GGUAAAGUGGCUGAAUUUUAGGCGAUAAAUUGUAAAUUUAUUAAUGGUUAAUAACCUUUUACUA
RNAcentral lists this transfer RNA (64 nucleotides) under Haemaphysalis tibetensis. Its description in RNAcentral is "tRNA-Tyr". The record is from RNAcentral. Lineage: Eukaryota; Metazoa; Arthropoda; Arachnida; Ixodida; Ixodidae.